UGAGUACGAGAUGCUACGGCAUCGAAGCAGUCUAUGUCAUACUUCCAAGAAAAGCUUGCACUGUCAUAAACAAAGAAUGCCUGUACCAUAACCGACACAGGUGGGUAGGUAGAGUAUACUAAGGGGCGCGAGAUAACUCUCUCUAAGGAACUCGGCAAAAUGACUCCGUAACUUCGGGAGAAGGAGUGCCUUAUUUCUAAGGUUGCAAUAACAAGAUCCAAGCAACUGUUUACCAAAAACACAGGUCUCCGCUAAGUCGUAAGACGAUGUAUGGGGGCUGACGCCUGCCCAGUGCCAGAAGGUUAAAGAAGUUGGUUAGCAUUAGCGAAGCUGAUAACUGAAGCCCUGGUGAACGGCGGCCGUAACUAUAACGGUCCUAAGGUAGCGAAAUUCCUUGUCGGGUAAGUUCCGACCCGCACGGAAGGCGUAAUGAUUUGGAUACUGUCUCGGAGAGGGGCUCGGUGAAAUAGACUUGUCUAUGAAGAUGCGGACUACCUGCACCUGGACAGAAAGACCCUAUGAAGCUUUACUGUAACUUGAGAUUGAAAUUGGACUUUAUUUGCGCAGUAUAGGUGGGAGGCGUUGAGAAUAAUCUUGCGGGAUUGUUGGAGCCAUCAGUGAGAUACCACUCUUGUAAUGUUAGAUUUCUAACUUUGUAUCAUUAUCUGGUCAAAGAACAGUUUCAGGCGGGCAGUUUGACUGGGGCGGUCGCCUCCCAAAGGGUAGCGGAGGCGCACAAAGGUUUCCUCUGAACGGGUAGAAAUCGUAUCUAGAGUGUAAAGGCAUAAGGAAGCUUGACUGUGAGACCUACAAGUCGAGCAGGGACGAAAGUCGGUCUUAGUGAUCUGACGGUGCUGAGUGGAAAGGCCGUCACUCAACGGAUAAAAGUUACUCUAAGGAUAACAGGCUGAUCUCCCCCAAGAGUUCACAUCGACGGGGAGGUUUGGCACCUCGAUGUCGGCUCAUCGCAUCCUGGGGCGGUAGUCCGUCCCAAGGGUUGGGCUGUUCGCCCAUGAAAGCGGUACGCGAGCUGGUUCAGAACGUCGUGAGACAGUUCGGUCCAUAUCCGGUGUAGGCGUUAGAAUAUUGAGAGGAGCCUUCUCUAGUACGAGAGGACCGAGAAGGACAUACCUCUGGUGUACCAGUUAUCGUGCCAACGGUAAACGCUGGGUAGCUAUGUAUGGAGUGGAUAACCGCUGAAAGCAUCUAAGUGGGAAGCCCACCUCAAGAUAAGUAUUCUG
Molecule: ribosomal RNA, 1241 nt
Filed under: metagenome
Description: bacterial LSU rRNA
Rfam family: Bacterial large subunit ribosomal RNA
Source: RNAcentral